AUGAUAAACUCUAACUGCAAGUUGCCUUUUGUUCCACUGAGAAAGGCUCCAUUAGGCAGCGGAGUGUGGGAAAACAAAAGCGCGACGCGCCCAGGCCGAGCCCGCGGCUGCGCGCGGGGCCGGGCGGGCUCAGCCCCUCAGCGCUGGCNCAGCGCUGGCGCAGCUCCCCUCACGUACGGCCGCGGUCCCGCGCCAGCGCAGCUCGGCUCGGCUGCCACAGCACUUGUGCAAUUACGGCCUUCCCAGAAGGAUUCCUUUGCACUUGUACAGGCAGCGAAGAGGAGAAAAAUAAGCCCGCCCAAAGGAGGAGAUGCAGGGGAGGAAACAAAAUAGACAAGAUGUGCUACUAGAAAAUAUAAAAGGUCAACAGCAUCAAACUCAGCGCAGCCAGACCACAGUAUCAUUGUUGUAUUAGGAUGUGCUAUAGGAAAAGACUUCAAGAACAUCCAUGAAAUUCUUAGGAGAAAAAGAAAUUGUGGUGUUUGGUAUUAUGUAUUUUCUAAAUAAAGCAAUAGUCUCAGGAAACA
This 527-nucleotide long non-coding RNA is filed under the name Cyanistes caeruleus (blue tit). Its description in RNAcentral is "lncRNA (ENSCCEG00000000333.1)". The record is from RNAcentral. Lineage: Eukaryota; Metazoa; Chordata; Aves; Passeriformes; Paridae.